Molecule: ribosomal RNA, 253 nt
Filed under: uncultured bacterium
Lineage: Bacteria
Description: partial 16S ribosomal RNA
Rfam family: Bacterial small subunit ribosomal RNA
Source: RNAcentral
UACGUAGGGUGCGAGCGUUGUCCGGAAUUAUUGGGCGUAAAGGGCUCGUAGGCGGUCUGUUGCGUCGGGAGUGAAAACUCAGGGCUUAACCCUGAGCCUGCUUCCGAUACGGGCAGACUAGAGGUAUGCAGGGGAGAACGGAAUUCCUGGUGUAGCGGUGAAAUGCGCAGAUAUCAGGAGGAACACCGGUGGCGAAGGCGGUUCUCUGGGCACUACCUGACGCUGAGGAGCGAAAGUGUGGGGAGCGAACAGG